GUCCCUGUAGCGCCAUAGAUAGCGCGUUGGACUUCUAAUCCAAAUAUCGAGGGUUCGAAUUUCCACCUGGGAUG
Trichonephila clavipes is the source of this 74-nucleotide non-coding RNA. The record is from the annotation of a GenBank genome assembly. Lineage: Eukaryota; Metazoa; Arthropoda; Arachnida; Araneae; Nephilidae.